AUGAAUAUCCUUAGUUGGAACUGCCGGGGAGGGGGGAAUCCCUGGACAGUUUGUGAGCUGGCGACUAUCUGUCAGUCGCAUUCCCCUAGUAUGGUGUUUUUGUGUGAAACAAGACAGAGAGCUGACAAAAUGAAGAAGGUGCGAGGGAGGAUUGGAUUGAAGGGUUAUGCAGGAGUUGAUAGUAAUGGUAUGAGUGGUGGUCUUGCGUUGUAUUGGCAUGAGAGUUACGAAGUGGAAAUUAUGGACAAAGAUGAACAUUUUAUUGAUGCACUAGUUCGUGUCCAGGAAGGGGCAACCCAAUGGAGGAUUACAUGUGUAUAUGGUGAACCACGAGUUGAGAACAGGCAUCUUAUGUGGGCUAAACUCGAGCAUCUAAAAGUUGUGAAUGAUCUACCGUGGCUUGUUGUGGGUGAUUUCAAUGAAGCCAUGUGGGGCUUUGAGCAUCUUUCAGUAACACCACAGGGAGAGACACAAAUGGUCGCCUUCCGUGAUACUUUGGAGAUCUGUGGUUUGGUUGACCUAGGCUUUCUAGGGGUUCCCUUUACAUAUGAUAAUAAGAGGGGUGGUGUCGGUGUCAAAACCGACGGAUCUCGGGUAGGGGGUCCCGAACUGUGCGUCUAG
This 621-nucleotide ribosomal RNA is filed under the name Triticum aestivum (bread wheat). RNAcentral's name for it is "partial small subunit ribosomal RNA". The record is from RNAcentral. Lineage: Eukaryota; Viridiplantae; Streptophyta; Magnoliopsida; Poales; Poaceae.